This 716-nucleotide ribosomal RNA is filed under the name Escherichia coli. Its description in RNAcentral is "bacterial SSU rRNA". It matches the Rfam family "Bacterial small subunit ribosomal RNA", at positions 1 to 706 of the family's 1533-position model. The record is from RNAcentral. Lineage: Bacteria; Pseudomonadati; Pseudomonadota; Gammaproteobacteria; Enterobacterales; Enterobacteriaceae.
AAAUUGAAGAGUUUGAUCAUGGCUCAGAUUGAACGCUGGCGGCAGGCCUAACACAUGCAAGUCGAACGGUAACAGGAAGAAGCUUGCUUCUUUGCUGACGAGUGGCGGACGGGUGAGUAAUGUCUGGGAAACUGCCUGAUGGAGGGGGAUAACUACUGGAAACGGUAGCUAAUACCGCAUAACGUCGCAAGACCAAAGAGGGGGACCUUCGGGCCUCUUGCCAUCGGAUGUGCCCAGAUGGGAUUAGCUAGUAGGUGGGGUAACGGCUCACCUAGGCGACGAUCCCUAGCUGGUCUGAGAGGAUGACCAGCCACACUGGAACUGAGACACGGUCCAGACUCCUACGGGAGGCAGCAGUGGGGAAUAUUGCACAAUGGGCGCAAGCCUGAUGCAGCCAUGCCGCGUGUAUGAAGAAGGCCUUCGGGUUGUAAAGUACUUUCAGCGGGGAGGAAGGGAGUAAAGUUAAUACCUUUGCUCAUUGACGUUACCCGCAGAAGAAGCACCGGCUAACUCCGUGCCAGCAGCCGCGGUAAUACGGAGGGUGCAAGCGUUAAUCGGAAUUACUGGGCGUAAAGCGCACGCAGGCGGUUUGUUAAGUCAGAUGUGAAAUCCCCGGGCUCAACCUGGGAACUGCAUCUGAUACUGGCAAGCUUGAGUCUCGUAGAGGGGGGUAGAAUUCCAGGUGUAGCGGUGAAAUGCGUAGAGAUCUGGAGGAA